GAAAAAGGACAUGGAGAAACAGGAUCGUGAAAGAAAAAAGGAAGAACAAAGGCUGAUGCGUGAACAGCAAAGGAAGGAGGAGCGAUUUCAGCGCGAGGAGAAACGUGAAAUGGAGAGGAGAGAGAAGUUUUUGCAGAGGGAGCUCGUGAGGGUGGAGAGGAAAAAACAAAAAGAUGAGCUACGAAAAGAGAAAGAAGCUGCAAAACAGAAGGCUGCUAUGGAGAAGGCAAUGGCACGCAGAAUUGCUAAAGAAUCAAUGGAGCUGAUCGAGGAUGAGCGCUUGGAACUUAUGGAUCUGGCUGCCUCUAGCAAAGGGCUACCAUCAAUUGCAUCUCUUAAUUAUGACACUUUGCAGAACCUUGAGUCAUUUAGAGAAUCUUUGUGUGAAUUCCCUCCCAAGUCUGUUCAAUUGAAAAAACCAUUCUCCGUCGAACCCUGGAUUGCUUCAGAUGACAAUGUCGGGAAUCUUCUUAUGGCUUGGAGAUUCUGCUUAAAUUUUGCAGACAUUCUCGGGCUUUGGCCUUUCACACUUGACGAAUUUCUUCAAGCUUUCCAUGACUAUGAUUCCAGAUUGUUGGCUGAGAUACAAAUUGCUCUUUUGAAACUGAUUAUAAAAGAUAUUGAAGAUGUUGCUAGAACACCUGCCAGUGCAGUAGGAGCAAACCCAAAUGUGAAUCCUGGAGGCGGACACCCUGAUAUAGUCGAAG
Molecule: unclassified non-coding RNA, 707 nt
Filed under: Hevea brasiliensis (rubber tree)
Lineage: Eukaryota; Viridiplantae; Streptophyta; Magnoliopsida; Malpighiales; Euphorbiaceae
Source: RNAcentral